CUGAAGCGUCUCGCCAAGGAAGGGCAGUCCCAUGGUACCCGGAGGAAGAGGACUCGGACAGGUUGGAUCACUUCCACUAAUGACGUACAUUUCCCACAGUUUCAUCGCCGUCACGAUCAGAAGGAGUGGGAGCAGGAGAGUGCAAAGACAUGUUACGAAUAACGUGUAGAAACCCAUCUCGAGGAGAAGUGUAAGGAUGGACCGCAGGAGUGGACUGCUCUCCGAUAGAGUUGACCAGGGUGUUUGGUCCCAGGAUAAUCCGGGUGCUCUGGGGCCACUGCGUGCAGACCAAGUUGUGUUCUCCAAGCAAGAUUUUACGGAUGUUUUCUGCACCAGUUACCCGGAUAACAGGCUUUCCUAAAAGUGUACAGACAGCACCACAGACGGCCCCACCCGCCGUAAUUAAAACGGCCAGCCAUGUCAUAUCUCUGUUGCUGCAGUUACUGUGAGGGCAGACGAUUCUUUGGAGCUUGUGAUGGACUCGGCUUUGACUUCUCCUCCUUUCAUCUCUUAGUGGACAUUUUACUACCACUGCUUCGUACCCUCUCUGCCCUCAGUGGGCGUUUGGUCAUGGAUCAGCUUGUGUUUGAAAUGCUGCGGAAGAUUCACACAUAUUAUAGCCUUCCCCAUCAUGUUGGGUUGUAGUGAUUACCUGCCCAUAACCUGGCCCACACCCUCCUCCUGCUCUGAUGUUGAUGAAACUCCUGCAAGUCUGCACGCAAUGUCACAACAGGGAUGUCAUUAUGCUGUGCGUGAUCAUAGGUCUCCACAGAAAAGGGGGUCAGUGAAGUGACAACAGGCUUGUCAUGGUAAUAACAGCAUGACGAGGUCAUGGCUACUGUGUAAUGUAAUCAGCAUGCUAAGCCACACAGUUGCGUUUGACAUAAGAUUCACAUUUCCAGCUUAAUACCGCACCUACAUGGAAAGUCCCAAAGUGAUUGAGAGGCGAGUCCCAUCCCUGUGCUCCCUGGUGCCACUACAGUGGGCUGCUCUAUCCCC
Molecule: long non-coding RNA, 999 nt
Organism: Salmo salar (Atlantic salmon)
Lineage: Eukaryota; Metazoa; Chordata; Actinopteri; Salmoniformes; Salmonidae
Source: RefSeq, a predicted model, not a curated record